GACUGGGAUGCUAGACUUAACAUGCAGUCGACGCUUCUUUUCCCACCGGAGCUUGCUCCACCGGGAAAAGAGGAGUGGCGAACGGGUGAGUAACACGUGGGUAACCUGCCCAUCAGAAGGGGAUAACACUUGGAAACAGGUGCUAAUACCGUAUAACAAUCGAAACCGCAUGGUUUCGUUUUGAAAGGCGCUUUACGGUGCCGCUGAUGGAUGGACCCGCGGUGCAUUAGCUAGUUGGUGAGGUAACGGCUCACCAAGGCCACGAUGCAUAGCCGACCUGAGAGGGUGAUCGGCCACAUUGGGACUGAGACACGGCCCAAACUCCUACGGGAGGCAGCAGUAGGGAAUCUUCGGCAAUGGACGAAAGUCUGACCGAGCAACGCCGCGUGAGUGAAGAAGGUUUUCGGAUCGUAAAACUCCUGUUGUUAGAGAAGAACAAGGGUGAGGAGUAACUGUUCACCCCUUGACGGUAUCUAACCAGAAAGCCACGGCUAACUACGUGCCAGCAGCCGCGGUAAUACGUAGGUGGCAAGCGUUGUCCGGAUUUAUUGGGCGUAAAGCGAGCGCAGGCGGUUUCUUAAGUCUGAUGUGAAAGCCCCCGGCUCAACCGGGGAGGGUCAUUGGAAACUGGGAGACUUGAGUGCAGAAGAGGAGAGUGGAAUUCCAUGUGUAGCGGUGAAAUGCGUAGAUAUAUGGAGGAACACCAGUGGCGAAGGCGGCUCUCUGGUCUGUAACUGACGCUGAGGCUCGAAAGCGUGGGGAGCAAACAGGAUUAGAUACCCUGGUAGUCCACGCCGUAAACGAUGAGUGCUAAGUGUUGGAGGGUUUCCGCCCUUCAGUGCUGCAGCUAACGCAUUAAGCACUCCGCCUGGGGAGUACGACCGCAAGGUUGAAACUCAAAGGAAUUGACGGGGGCCCGCACAAGCGGUGGAGCAUGUGGUUUAAUUCGAAGCAACGCGAAGAACCUUACCAGGUCUUGACAUCCUUUGACCACUCUAGAGAUAGAGCUUCCCCUUCGGGGGCAAAGUGACAGGUGGUGCAUGGUUGUCGUCAGCUCGUGUCGUGAGAUGUUGGGUUAAGUCCCGCAACGAGCGCAACCCUUAUUGUUAGUUGCCAUCAUUUAGUUGGGCACUCUAGCAAGACUGCCGGUGACAAACCGGAGGAAGGUGGGGAUGACGUCAAAUCAUCAUGCCCCUUAUGACCUGGGCUACACACGUGCUACAAUGGGAAGUACAACGAGUCGCGAAGUCGCGAGGCUAAGCUAAUCUCUUAAAGCUUCUCUCAGUUCGGAUUGUAGGCUGCAACUCGCCUACAUGAAGCCGGAAUCGCUAGUAAUCGCGGAUCAGCACGCCGCGGUGAAUACGUUCCCGGGCCUUGUACACACCGCCCGUCACACCACGAGAGUUUGUAACACCCGAAGUCGGUGAGGUAACCUUUUGGAGCCAGCCUCGUUAAUAGUAGUUCAGCCACCGC
This 1473-nucleotide ribosomal RNA is filed under the name Enterococcus mundtii. Its description in RNAcentral is "bacterial SSU rRNA". It matches the Rfam family "Bacterial small subunit ribosomal RNA". The record is from RNAcentral. Lineage: Bacteria; Bacillati; Bacillota; Bacilli; Lactobacillales; Enterococcaceae.